This is an RNA transcript of Ictalurus furcatus (blue catfish), 1769 nucleotides long. It is a transcript of the gene named C-C motif chemokine 23, with no coding region annotated. The record is from RefSeq and is a predicted model, not a curated record. NCBI's taxonomy places the organism in Eukaryota, Metazoa, Chordata, Actinopteri, Siluriformes, Ictaluridae. The transcript has 7 exons.
GAAUAAAACCCUCAAAUUACCGAAACUACUUCUUACAGAACUGCACCAGUGUUGGAAAGUUACAGAUUAAAGUCCAUAAGAAGAGAUUUGAUCAGUCAUGUUCUUCCGCUGUCUCCUGCUGGUUCUCGUCUGCCUCCAGGACUUCACAACAGCCGUCCGGUGUGUACAUGGACCAGAGCAUUGCUGUUUCAAAUUCCACAGAAAUCCAAUCUCUGUAAGACUCAUUACAGAGUAUAAAGUAACACAUAUGGACUGUCCAAAUCCUGGAAUCAUCUUUACUCUAAAGAACGGUCGUCACGUGUGUGCAGAUCCCGGGGUUGAGUGGGUGAAACAGGCCAUAAAAUUUUUUUACCAGCGUCUGUUUGAAAAAAACAAUUAACAGGGAUGAACAUGGACAUCAAUGCUGUAGCAGUUUCUGGACACAUCCAAUCCCUGUGAGUGAGAUUGAAACGUAUGAAGAAACACACAUCAACUGUACAAAUCCUGGAGUCAUUUUUACUCUAAAGAACGAUCAUCGCGUGUGUGCAGAUCCCGGGGUUGAGUGGGUGAAACAGGCCAUGGAAAGAUUUCACCAGUGUCUGUUUGAAAGUACAAUUAUCAGGGGUUCAAUCCUUUCUUCAACUUAAUUAUUAGAUGAAUUAGUAACAGAAUAAAACUUUUUUAUUUUUAUAAAUCAUCUUUAAACAUAAAUAAUCCCAGAUGCACUUGUCCUAACAGUAAUAGGAGUUAUAGGACAGUAAGGUGAAGAAGCAGUGUUAUUGUUUACCUGAAGUUUAUUGUUAAUUAUACAUCUUAUUUUUUUAUUGUUACAAUAAAUGUUGUGGGAUGUCCAUGAAACAAGUAAUUUCCUCUUUCACUUACGUUAUAGCAGCUAUAAACAGUCGUUCCCUCACCAGCCCUGUCUUUAUUCUCUCUUGAAGAUAAUAAGCUGAAAAAUAUGAAGUCGGAUCUCUGUGACAAUUCUGAAAAUUAUUCAAGUAUUCUGAAAUAGUCUUCAGUUUUAUAGCUGAUAAGAUGAGAGUUCAAUGAGAGUUCAUAUUAAAGAACAUUAGAGUAGAUCUCUUACCAUUACUGCAUCAAAUAUUUUAUCUAGUUAUUGUAAAUUAUAACUAAAAUAACUAACACUGACAUGCAGCAGCUUUUCCCCCCAAUCUGAGGUGGUUACUGUAAAACCCUGUGUAUACGCUCACUCCAGCAUUUAAUCACAGUAAUAAACUGAUGUGACUGACUGAUAUAUUAAUAUUAAUGUUUUCACACAGGUGUACAUGGACCAGAGCAUUGCUGUUUCAAAUUCCACAGAAAUCCAAUCUCUGUAAGACUCAUUACAGAGUAUAAAGUAACACAUAUGGACUGUCCAAAUCCUGGAAUCAUUUUUACUCUAAAGAACGGUCGUCACGUGUGUGCAGAUCCCGGGGUUGAGUGGGUGAAACAGGCCAUAAAUUUUUUUACCAGCGUCUGUUUGAAAAAAACAAUUAACAGGGGUAAAAUCCUUUCUUCAACCUAAUUAUUAGAUGAAUUAGUAACAGAAUAAAGCUUUUUCUUAUAAAUCAUCUUUAAAGAUAAAUAAUUACUUGAAUGCUGUAAUCCUGAUUUUUGUGCAAGUUAAAGUUUCAGUUUAAUAUUCAUUAUUUCCAUGUUUUUUGUUGAAUUAGAAGCACAUAUUAUUAUGAAUGAAUGUUUGUUGUAUUCAGUAAGAUUUAAAUGUCACUCGAAACUAUAUGUAAAUAAUCUCUUUCCAUGAUUUAUACAAAUAAAACCUGUUAUAAAUA